This 78-nucleotide transfer RNA is filed under the name Bacillus stratosphericus. RNAcentral's name for it is "tRNA-Arg". The stretch from base 6 to 70 matches the Rfam family "tRNA", at positions 5 to 66 of the family's 71-position model. From Rfam's summary of the family: Transfer RNA (tRNA) molecules are approximately 80 nucleotides in length. Their secondary structure includes four short double-helical elements and three loops (D, anti-codon, and T loops). Further hydrogen bonds mediate the characteristic L-shaped molecular structure. tRNAs have two regions of fundamental functional importance: the anti-codon, which is responsible for specific mRNA codon recognition, and the 3' end, to which the tRNAs corresponding amino acid is attached (by aminoacyl-tRNA synthetases). tRNAs cope with the degeneracy of the genetic code in two manners: having more than one tRNA (with a specific anti-codon) for a particular amino acid; and 'wobble' base-pairing, i.e. permitting non-standard base-pairing at the 3rd anti-codon position. Lineage: Bacteria; Bacillati; Bacillota; Bacilli; Caryophanales; Bacillaceae. The record is from RNAcentral.
CGCGCCCGUAGCUCAACCGGAUAGAGCACCCGCCUUCUAAGCGGGCGGUUACAGGUUCGAUUCCUGUCGGCGGGGCCA